This 239-nucleotide unclassified non-coding RNA is filed under the name rhizosphere metagenome. RNAcentral's name for it is "partial ribosomal RNA internal transcribed spacer region". The record is from RNAcentral.
GUAGGUGAACCUGCGGAAGGAUCAUUACAAAUCUGUCAACCCGAGGACGAAGUCCGAGGGGACGUUUACCCGGGAGUGGUCGUUGGAUCAUUCCCUUGGUGUUGGUUGGUUUAGUAGUGGUUGGUCGGUUUUUACCAAUCACCACAAAUACCGCCAAUAUUCACGCUUGUCGAGUUUGACCGAGUUUAUUAAUACACAAGACAUAUAGACAACUUUUAACAAUGGAUCUCUUGGCUCUU